RNAcentral lists this ribosomal RNA (183 nucleotides) under uncultured Pedobacter sp. RNAcentral describes it as "partial 16S ribosomal RNA". It matches the Rfam family "Bacterial small subunit ribosomal RNA", at positions 28 to 207 of the family's 1533-position model. Lineage: Bacteria; Pseudomonadati; Bacteroidota; Sphingobacteriia; Sphingobacteriales; Sphingobacteriaceae. The record is from RNAcentral.
GAUGAACGCUAGCGGCAGGCCUAAUACAUGCAAGUCGAACGAUAGAUGAGAGCUUGCUCUCAUCGAAAGUGGCGCACGGGUGCGUAACGCGUAUGCAACCUACCUUCAUCAGGGGGAUAGCCCGGAGAAAUCCGGAUUAAUACCGCAUAAAAUCACAGGAUGGCAUUAUCCAAUGAUCAAACA